CUGGUCCCUCGGGGCCCCUCUUCGGAGGAGCAGGCACGCCGGCGGCCAACCUAACUCUUGUUUUUACACUGAAACUCUGAGUACAAAACAUAAAUGAAUCAAAACUUUCAACAACGGAUCUCUUGGUUCUGGCAUCGAUGAAGAACGCAGCGAAAUGCGAUAAGUAAUGUGAAUUGCAGAAUUCAGUGAAUCAUCGAAUCUUUGAACGCACAUUGCGCCCUCUGGUAUUCCGGAGGGCAUGCCUGUUCGAGCGUCAUUUCAACCCUCAAGCCUGGCUUGGUGAUGGGGCACUGCCUGUAAAAGGGCAGGCCCUGAAAUUCAGUGGCGAGCUCGCCAGGACCCCGAGCGCAGUAGUUAAACCCUCGCUUUGGAAGGCCCUGGCGGUGCCCUGCCGUUAAACCCCCAACUUUUGAAAAUUUGACCUCGGAUCAGGUAGGAAUACCCGCUGAACUUAAGCAUAUCAAUAAGCGGAGGAA
RNAcentral lists this ribosomal RNA (476 nucleotides) under Phomopsis sp. A RCS-2012. Its description in RNAcentral is "eukaryotic LSU rRNA". The stretch from base 103 to 256 matches the Rfam family "5.8S ribosomal RNA". Lineage: Eukaryota; Fungi; Ascomycota; Sordariomycetes; Diaporthales; Diaporthaceae. The record is from RNAcentral.